Molecule: small RNA, 1057 nt
Filed under: Histoplasma capsulatum
Lineage: Eukaryota; Fungi; Ascomycota; Eurotiomycetes; Onygenales; Ajellomycetaceae
Also listed under: 1 other name
Description: hypothetical RNA
Source: RNAcentral
ACUUGUUUGAGGUUGAACAGGGAUAUUCAAGAUCCCGGAUCCGCUGGGGUGGUUUGGCUUCUUGUGUGGAUUCGAACCUUGCGCCGGCAGAGGGGUGAGGAUGAUCCGCAUGGUUUACUAUCCCUAAAAUGGAUAUUUUUAGCUUGUUAAAUCUUCUCUAAUUCUGUUAUAGAUGCCAUCCCACGCGUGAAAGAGAGAUCAUAAAUAAAUAUUUCCAGAGUCUCGGAUUGAUCUGGAAGGAAGAAUGUGAGGCAUGGAUUGGCUUUACGUUUUUUUUUUUUUCAUUGCACGGAUUAUAUCUGAACAGGGGGAUCAGCUUUCCAUGAGCAAACCCCCACGAAUUCAUGCAUUGUGUCUCAAUAUGCCAGAAAUAUAGAAUCGUGUAGAGAAUUUUGCCAUGCCCCCCCGGCUCCCAUUUUCAAUGGAUUUCCGUACUCCCCCUGCAAAAGAUAUGUGGUUGAAAACAACAUUACUAUUUCCCCCCCGUUAUCCCGUUGAUACCGAUAUGUUCAGUUUUAUCAUUGACAGACAAAAUUACAGUUGCCCUAGGCAUGAAAAACAGUAUGGAUGAAUGGAAUUUCGCAUGCUGGAAAUCGAAGCAGCACACAAGCAGCAAUUUAAAGGUCAAGCCUCCUUAAACCCAGCGUCUAUGGUUGAUACAGAUACUCUCACUUCUAGAAUGGUUGGGAUAAGGUAAUGUAGCACUCAGACAUCCAAGUGCCUGAGUUGCUGGCCGCAGAGCGCGGAGUUCUGAAUGUUCAGCGGUGAACACCAUCUUGUUGACAGGCAGCGGAGGGCUGUGUUUCUAGGGCUCUCGCAAUAUCUUCUAGUUUACGGUUCAGCUCCUGUGUACGUUCGAAAAUGGGGUUUUUUGGACUCGAUGUCAUGUUUUUGAUAAUCUCGUUAUACCCAUCCAUGUUUGUUAUUUUCUCACAUCACAUUUGGCUGUCAUGAAUAAUGGUUGCUACCUACCAUACCUUUAAUUUAAGGGACCAUUUUAUUACCGUUUUCUGAUACCCUCUAUGUUAUCCUCAGACACAAUGACAAGGACCAGGGC